RNAcentral lists this ribosomal RNA (224 nucleotides) under uncultured archaeon. RNAcentral's name for it is "partial 16S ribosomal RNA". It matches the Rfam family "Archaeal small subunit ribosomal RNA", at positions 345 to 570 of the family's 1478-position model. The record is from RNAcentral.
AACCUUUACAAUGCACGCAAGUGUGAUAAGGGAACCCUAAGUGCUUUACUACAAGUAAGGCUUUUGCCAAGAGUAAAAAUCUUGGCGAAUAAGUGGUGGGCAAGACGGGUGCCAGCCGCCGCGGUAACACCCGCGCCACAAGUGGCAAUCACGUUUAUUGGGCCUAAAGCGUCCGUAGCUGGUCUGGUAAAUCUUUUGUGAAAUUGUUAGGCUCAACCUAACAA